UAUUCUGCCCCACGGGGAAGGAUGAGAAGCUUCGACUAAGGUUCGACUCGAGCGAAGCGAGAGAACGUUGCCGCAGGCAACGGCCCGAAGGGCGAGGAG
RNAcentral lists this small RNA (99 nucleotides) under Klebsiella pneumoniae. RNAcentral describes it as "partial RtT sRNA". It matches the Rfam family "RtT RNA", at positions 1 to 98 of the family's 130-position model. From Rfam's summary of the family: This family represents a bacterial cis-regulatory element known as RtT RNA. The exact function of RtT is unknown although it is thought that it may be involved in changing the cellular response in relation to amino acid starvation. The record is from RNAcentral. Lineage: Bacteria; Pseudomonadati; Pseudomonadota; Gammaproteobacteria; Enterobacterales; Enterobacteriaceae.